This 460-nucleotide ribosomal RNA is filed under the name uncultured bacterium. RNAcentral's name for it is "partial 16S ribosomal RNA". It matches the Rfam family "Bacterial small subunit ribosomal RNA", at positions 338 to 795 of the family's 1533-position model. The record is from RNAcentral.
CCUACGGGAGGCAGCAGUGAGGAAUAUUGGUCAAUGGUCGUAAGCCUGAACCAGCCAAGUCGCGUGAGGGAUGAAGGUUCUAUGGAUCGUAAACCUCUUUUAUACGGGAAUAAAGUGCGGGACGUGUCCUGUUUUGUAUGUACCUUAUGAAUAAGGAUCGGCUAAUUCCGUGCCAGCAGCCGCGGUAAUACGGAGGAUCCGAGCGUUAUCCGGAUUUAUUGGGUUUAAAGGGUGCGUAGGCGGCCUGUUAAGCAUGCGGUGAAAGUCUGUGGCUCAACCAUGGAAUUGCGGUGGAAACUGGGUGGCUUGAGUAUGUUUAAGGCAGGCGGAAUGCGUGGUGUAGCGGUGAAAUGCUUAGAUAUCACGCAGAACCCCGAUUGCGAAGGCAGCCUGCGAAGCCAUGACUGACGCUGAUGCACGAAGGCGUGGGGAUCGAACAGGAUUAGAUACCCCAGUAGUC